AAUGAACGCUGGCGACGUGCCUAACACACGCAAGUCGAACGAGAAAGCCCUUCGGGGUAAGUAGAGUGGCAAACGGGUGAGUAACACGUAAGAAUCUACCUUUUGGUGGGGAAUACCUUUGAGAAAUUGAGGUUAAUACCACAUAAGUCCCUUCGGGGAGAAAGGCCGCGUAAUGCGGUCGCCGGAAGAUGAGCUUGCGGCCUAUUAGCUAGUUGGUGUGGUAAGAGCGCACCAAGGCGAUGAUGGGUAACCGGCCUGAGAGGGUGUACGGUCACACUGGAACUGAGACACGGUCCAGACUCCUACGGGAGGCAGCAGUGGGGAAUCUUGCGCAAUGGACGAAAGUCUGACGCAGCCAUGCCGCGUGAAUGAUGAAGGUCUUAGGAUUGUAAAGUUCUUUAGCCUGUGACGAUGAUGACGGUAACAGGAGAAUAAGCCCCGGCUAACUUCGUGCCAGCAGCCGCGGUAAUACGAAGGGGGCUAGCGUUGUUCGGAAUUACUGGGCGUAAAGCGCGCGUAGGCGGUUUUACAAGCCAGAGGUGAAAUGCCUGAGCUCAACUUANGAAUUGCCUUUGGAACUGUAUGGCUUUGAGGACGANAGAGGUGAGUGGAAUUCCCAGUGUANAGGUGAAAUUCGUAGAUAUUUGGGAAAGAACACCGGUGGCGAAGGGCGGCUCACUGGCCUCNUUUUNUGACCCCUUGUNACCCCGAAAANCGUGGUGGGAAANACCNCCGGUGGCGAGGGCGGCUCACUGGCUCGUUUNUGACGCUGUAGCGCGAAAGCGUGGGGAUCAAACAGNAUUAGAUACCNUGGUAGUCCACGCUGUAAACGAUGAGUGCUAGGCGUCGGCACGCUUGCGUGUCGGUGCCGCAGCUAACGCGUGAAGCACUCCGCCUGGGGAGUACGGCCGCAAGGUUGAAACUCAAAGGAAUUGACGGGGACCCGCACAAGCGGUGGAUGAUGUGGUUUAAUUCGAUGCAACGCGAAAAACCUUACCUACCCUUGACAUGUCAAGAAUUUUGCAGAGAUGUGAAAGUGCUCGAAAGAGAACUUGAACACAGGUGCUGCAUGGCCGUCGUCAGCUCGUGUCGUGAGAUGUUGGGUUAAGUCCCGCAACGAGCGCAACCCUUGUCAUUAGUUGCUACCGCAAGGAGCACUCUAAUGAGACUGCCGGUGACAAACCGGAGGAAGGUGGGGAUGACGUCAAGUCCUCAUGGCCCUUAUGGGUAGGGCUACACACGUCAUACAAUGGACGGUACAAAGGGCUGCCAACCCGCGAGGGGGAGCCAAUCCCGUAAAACCGUUCGUAGUCCGGAUCGCAGUCUGCAACUCGACUGCGUGAAGUCGGAAUCGCUAGUAAUCGUGGAUCAGCAUGUCACGGUGAAUACGUUCCCGGGUCUUGUACACACCGCCCGUCACACCAUGGGAGCGGGUUCUGCCAGAAGUAGUUAGCCUAACCGCAAGGAGGGCGAUUACCACGGCAGGGUUCGUGACUGGGGUGAAGUCGUAACAAGGUAACC
This 1521-nucleotide ribosomal RNA is filed under the name uncultured bacterium. Its description in RNAcentral is "partial 16S ribosomal RNA". It matches the Rfam family "Bacterial small subunit ribosomal RNA". The record is from RNAcentral.